GAUUGAAAUAGUCCUUGAUGUAUGCAAAAUAUGGAUGGUUUUGGUCCUAAAUCCUAAAUAUAAUGCCGUAACAUUAUUCAAAUGUUUGACACAAAAAAUCCAUCAAAUGUAAGUGAAAUAUUUUUAAUUUUUUUAAUUUUUACUUUUUUAUUAUUUUUAUUUUUAAAAUGUAUUAUUCUUUUUAUAUUAUUUAUUUUUCAUUUUCUUUCUUUUCAUUCCCAACCUUCACUUCUUAUGAUUCCAUGUAAUUGCUCGUAUUUUUUUAUUUUAUUCAUUUAGCAUAACCGUGUUAGCAUAACCGUGUUAUUAUUCUAAUAUUUGAAACUACGCCUCUUAAUAUUGAAAAGAAUGAGUUAUUAACAAACUUGACAUAUAACGGGUGACGUUAUUAAAGUAGAAUUUCAUUGUGAAUGGGGUUAUAAACUUAUAUUUUUCCUUUCUUUUGAAUUAUUUACUUAAGUUUCAACGUAACAUACUUAUGUAAUGUUAUGAAUAAUACUCAUAUGUCAAAUUCUAACAUUACAUAAGUAAGUUUCAACGUAACUUAAGUAAAUAAUUCAAAAGAAAGGAAAAAUAUAAGUUUAUAAUAACACGGUAUGCUAAAUGAAUAAAAUAAAAAAAUACGAGCAAUUACAUGGAAUCAUAAGAAAUAAAGGUUGGGAAUGAAAAUAAAGAAAAUGAAAAAUAAAUAAUAUAAAAAGAAUAAUACAUUUUAAAAAUAAAAAUAAUAAAAAAGUAAAAAUUAAAAAAAUUUCACUUACAUUUGAUGGAUUUUUUGUGUCAAACAUUUGAAUAAUGUUACGGCAUUAUAUUUAGAAUUUAGGACCAAAACUAUCCACAUUUUGCAUACAUCAAGGACUAUUUCAAUCAAGUGAAUAUAUCAAGGACCAAAACAAUCCAACCCUCAUACAUUAAGGACCAUUUUGAUCAUUUUCUCGAAACAUCAAGGACUAUUUCAAUCAAGUGAAUAUAUCAAGGACCAAAACAAUCCAACCCUCAUACAUUAAGGACCAUUUUGAUCAUUUUCUCGAAACAUCAAGGACUAUUUCAAUCAAGUGAAUAUAUCAAGGACCAAAACAAUCUAACCCUCAUACAUUAAGGACCAUUUUGAUCAUUUUCUCGAUGUAAAUCAUCUCAUAAAGUUAAAUUAUUUCUAAAUAUAGAAAAAAGAUAAUUUUUUUGGGACAGAUUAAAAAGGAAAUGAGGAAAAAUUUUAGGACGAAGGGAGCAGCAUACAGUUCUCGUGCGCGCGCGCCCUCUCUCUUCACUCUUAAAAACAAUUAGCAUACAGUAAAGUUAUUUCCAUUCCAUUCUCAGAUAUGAGAAUGGUAUUCCAUUCUUACCUUUCUUUUUUGUCCAUUCUGCUACCAUCACUCUUAGCUUAUAUUCCAUAUAUUUUCAUAGGCAACAACUCAUUAGCAUAGACAAUCUUCUUAACCUUUGAAAUUUCCAUUCUCAGGUGAGAAAUUUCUAUUUUCAUUAAUUAUUUCGAUUUUCAGUUCUGCUAUUGUUGGGAUUGUUAGCUAUAAUUUCUCAAUCCCUAGCUGGAAUUCCUCUUCUAAAUUGAUUUUUAGGGCUCAUGCAUGAAUGGAAUUUUGAAAUUUCUGUUUCUGUGUAAACAUUUUGAAAAUUUUAGGGUUCAUGUAGCGAUUUUCCCCAAUUUGUUUCUCUUUUCUGGUUGCCACUUUUGUUCACUUUUUUUUUUCCAUAUAACAUCUUUUAGUUUACACUCUGCUUUUUGUAAUUUUUCAGUUUAAUUGGUUUGAUAUAUGUUUUAAUUUUGGUUGUUUUGUCUCGUAUUUGGAUUGUAUGCAAUUAAUUUAUAGGUAGCCAAGGGAUCAAAUCUGUGUUCACUAUUGAAUAUAAGAACCAUAGCUUGUAAUUAAGCUACGUAUUGCAUUUACCAUUUAGUACAUGUUUCUGUUUCUUGAUUGGCUGAGGAAACGAGGUUGUUUAUCAUUGAGUAUUUUGUCAAUAUAUUGUAUCAUGUUUCAUUUAAUAUGUGAACUAUUCCAGUUUACUUUUCUCCUUUACGUAGCUAGAUAGGCGAAAUGGCUACUAAGAAGUUCUGUUUACAAUUUUUUCCUCAACAUUCUUUCUUUUUUCUCCUUUUGUUGAUAGACAUGACAUGUAAAGUUCUCUCUCUAUCUCUCUGGAAAAAAAAUAUCAUUUUUACUUUAAGGAUUGAAUUAUGUGUCUGUAUGUAGGAACUCUAAAGAGUUCAUGUUUGUAUGUAGGAACUCUACAUACAGACACAUGAUUCAAUCGUAAAAGUUGUAUAUCAAGAGGCUUCACCCAAAAUAAUUUAUGUUUCUUCCAUCUCUUUGUUUGUUUUUGCUUUAUUUUGUCCUGAACUAACUUUUUCAUUUUAAUAUUAUGAUUCAAUCGUAAAAGUUGUAUAUCAAGAGGCUUCACCCAAAAUAAUUUAUGUUUCUUCCAUCUCUUUGUUUGUGUUUGCUUUAUUUUGUCCUGAACUAACUUUUUCAUUUUAAUAUUAUGAUUCUAUUUUAAUUUUAAGUUGGAUCGUUCCAACAUUAUGUUCUGUUGUUUCCAUAAAUACGCGUCAGUGGAGUCUUAUCAAAUGUACUUGGAAAGAGUAUCUCAUAAAUGCUAAGAUAGAGUACAAGAAAAAGAUAGGAGAUGAUUGGGCGACUCUUGAUAGGAAAUGUUGGCAGCUAACCCUCGUAUUAUUGAAGAGAUUCAUACAAUUAGCUUUAAGCAAGCUCAAAGAAAAGAGAAAAAUAAAGAAUCAUCUAUUUUAAGAUGCAUUUCGAGAUGGAGAGCUCAUUAAAUUGGAUUGAUCAUUGUAGUUCGGCAUUAGAUUUCUUUUGUUUUUCGUUUGCUUUUUUAUUUCCUUAACCUCGACACCACAAAAAUGGAUCACGUUGUAGUAUUUUCAGCUAUUUUGUUUUUCUCUUCGUUAUAUACUUGCUUAGUAGUUUGUGGUUUAUGCCAAUUUAAACUAUUUCAUUUUCUCCAUAUCUAAAUUUCAUUUGGUCUCAUUUCAUUAGUA
Molecule: long non-coding RNA, 3013 nt
Organism: Lycium barbarum (goji berry)
Lineage: Eukaryota; Viridiplantae; Streptophyta; Magnoliopsida; Solanales; Solanaceae
Exons: 2
Source: RefSeq, a predicted model, not a curated record